RNAcentral lists this ribosomal RNA (614 nucleotides) under Pseudochrobactrum sp. c242. Its description in RNAcentral is "bacterial SSU rRNA". It matches the Rfam family "Bacterial small subunit ribosomal RNA", at positions 56 to 717 of the family's 1533-position model. Lineage: Bacteria; Pseudomonadati; Pseudomonadota; Alphaproteobacteria; Hyphomicrobiales; Brucellaceae. The record is from RNAcentral.
UGCAGUCGAACGGUCUCUUCGGAGGCAGUGGCAGACGGGUGAGUAAUGCAUGGGAAUCUACCAUUCUCUACGGAAUAACUCAGGGAAACUUGUGCUAAUACCGUAUACGCCCUUUUGGGGAAAGAUUUAUCGGAGAGUGAUGAGCCCAUGUUGGAUUAGCUAGUUGGUGGGGUAAAGGCCUACCAAGGCGACGAUCCAUAGCUGGUCUGAGAGGAUGAUCAGCCACACUGGGACUGAGACACGGCCCAGACUCCUACGGGAGGCAGCAGUGGGGAAUAUUGGACAAUGGGCGCAAGCCUGAUCCAGCCAUGCCGCGUGAGUGAUGAAGGUCUUAGGAUUGUAAAGCUCUUUCACCGGUGAAGAUAAUGACGGUAACCGGAGAAGAAGCCCCGGCUAACUUCGUGCCAGCAGCCGCGGUAAUACGAAGGGGGCUAGCGUUGUUCGGAUUUACUGGGCGUAAAGCGCACGUAGGCGGACUUUUAAGUCAGGGGUGAAAUCCCAGAGCUCAACUCUGGAACUGCCUUUGAUACUGGAAGUCUUGAGUAUGGAAGAGGUGAGUGGAAUUCCGAGUGUAGAGGUGAAAUUCGUAGAUAUUCGGAGGAACACCAGUGGCG